CUACGGGAGGCAGCAGUGGGGAAUUUUGCGCAAUGGGGGAAACCCUGACGCAGCGACGCCGCGUGGAGGAUGAAGGUCUUCGGAUUGUAAACUCCUUUUGUCGGGGAAGAUAAUGACGGUACCCGAUGAAUAAGCCACGGCUAACUCUGUGCCAGCAGCCGCGGUAAGACAGAGGUGGCAAGCGUUGUUCGGAAUUACUGGGCUUAAAGGGCGCGUAGGCGGUGGAGUAAGUCUGAGGUGGAAGAUUAGGGCUUAACCCUAAAAUUGCCUUGGAAACUGCAUCACUUGAGUCAGCGAGGGGAUGGCGGAAUUCCAGGUGUAGCGGUGAAAUGCGUAGAUAUCUGGAGGAAGGCCGGUGGCGAAGGCGGCCAUCUGGCGCUGAACUGACGCUGAGGCGCGAAAGCGUGGGGAGCAAACAGGAUUAGAUACCCUGGUAGU
This 438-nucleotide ribosomal RNA is filed under the name uncultured bacterium. Its description in RNAcentral is "bacterial SSU rRNA". It matches the Rfam family "Bacterial small subunit ribosomal RNA", at positions 339 to 794 of the family's 1533-position model. The record is from RNAcentral.